AUUGAACGCUGGCGGCAUGCUUUACACAUGCAAGUCGAACGGCAGCGCGGGCUUCGGCCUGACGGCGAGUGGCGAACGGGUGAGUAAUACAUCGGAACGUGCCCAGUAGUGGGGGAUAGCUCGGCGAAAGCCGGAUUAAUACCGCAUACGACCUGAGGGUGAAAGCGGGGGAUCUUCGGACCUCGCGCUAUUGGAGCGGCCGAUGGCAGAUUAGCUAGUUGGUGGGGUAAAGGCCUACCAAGGCGACGAUCUGUAGCUGGUCUGAGAGGACGACCAGCCACACUGGGACUGAGACACGGCCCAGACUCCUACGGGAGGCAGCAGUGGGGAAUUUUGGACAAUGGGCGAAAGCCUGAUCCAGCAAUGCCGCGUGUGUGAUGAAGGCCUUCGGGUUGUAAAGCACUUUUGGCGGGAACGAAAAGGACUGUGCCAAUACCACGGUUCGAUGACGGUACCCGCAGAAUAAGCACCGGCUAACUACGUG
RNAcentral lists this ribosomal RNA (484 nucleotides) under uncultured bacterium. RNAcentral's name for it is "partial 16S ribosomal RNA". It matches the Rfam family "Bacterial small subunit ribosomal RNA", at positions 29 to 507 of the family's 1533-position model. The record is from RNAcentral.